ACAAGUUUUGGGGCCAUUCCCUAGAUCCGAUGCUCGAUUUCCGACGAAACCCUAGUUCUGUUGACCGCGCGGUCUACCCCUUUGACUGCAUCCCAUCGGGGCUCCCCCGGUGGGCAUAUGCCUCCAUUUGAGCUUGGUUAGGUCAUAUGUACAUUUGGAAACAAGGAUCAUCACAUAUGAUCUCAAGUUUCUCUCCGGUUCAACUCCGAGGGAGUUCCCCCCUAUACAUGCAGAAUCUGCCUAAGUGUAGGAACCCCCUGUCCGAGAAGCCGGACACACCUGGGGGGGUAGCCUUGGAUAUAGAACCAUCUCAAAUCACUUUUGUGCAUUCCAUGUGGACACACACAAGUUUUGGGGCCAUUCUCUACAUCCGAUGCUCGAUUUCCGACGAAACCCUAGUUCUGUUGACCGCGCGGUCUACCCCUUUGACUGCAUCCCAUCGGGGCUCCCCCGGUGGGCAUAUGCCUCCAUUUGAGCUUGGUUAGGUCAUAGGUACAUUUGGAAACAAGGAUCAUCACAUAUGAUCUCAAGUUUCUCUCCGGUUCACCUCCGAGGGAGUUCCCCC
Non-coding RNA from Lolium perenne, 565 nucleotides. Lineage: Eukaryota; Viridiplantae; Streptophyta; Magnoliopsida; Poales; Poaceae. The record is from RefSeq and is a predicted model, not a curated record.